CCCAGCCGACUUGGCCCUCCCCUCCUGCUCUGUGGCUGAGUGACUCAUUGCGAGCUUACAGAACAGGGCGGUUGGCAGCUGAGCGAAAAUGGAGGAAAACUCAACUUACGGAGGACCGGUCAUCCUUUCACUCCCUCCUCUCUAGCUUCUCUUCCUCUGUAUCCAUUGCCAAAGCCACUUUCUAUCACAAAAUGUCAAGCUUCUGCCUCUAACCCUUGGAUACUAUUUUCCAUCUUCUCCUCUUUCCUUAACCCCCCCCCCCCCUUUCUGCGGACGACAUGGUCAAUCCCUUUGAAAAGGUUGACACGACAUCCGCUCCUCACGAAACCCACACUCGACUCCUCUGACUUAAACUACAGACAGAUUUAUCCGCUGACUUUGACACUGUGGACCACCAGGGCUGGGCGUCUCAGGCUCUUUGAUUGCAUCCUACAUGGCAGGCCGCUCCUAUCAGGUGGCAACAGGCAUCUCUGCGUGCCUGGAAGAUAUCUCAGCUUGGAUGUGGGACACCCACCUCAAUCUCAACAAGAUGGAGCUGCUCUUCCUCUUGGGGAAGCCCUGCCCUCUUCAAGACCUCUCUAUCAUGGUUGACAACUCCACAGUGUCCCCCACCCAGAGUGCAAAGAACCUGGACAACACCCUGUUGUUCACGCAAACAUCAAAGCAGUAAGUCGCUACUGCAGGUUCAUGCUCUACAACACAGGUGUCAAACUCAUUCCACGGAGGGCCGAGUGUCUGCGGGUUUUCGCUCCUCCCUUGUACUUGAUUGAUGAAUUAACAUCACUAAUUAGUUAGGAACUCCCCACACCUGGUUGUCUAGGGCUUUAUUGAAAGGAAAAACCAAAAACCUGCAGACACUAGGCCCUCCGUGGAAUGAGUUUGACGCCCCUGCUCUACAACAUGGGUCGGGGAUGACUCUACUACCUAACACAAGAAGAGGCACAGGUCCUAAUCCAGGCACUUUGAUAUUUAGAUUUAAAAAAAACGGCUGUAUUGGACCUUUAACGUGUGUGUUUGGGGUGUUGGGAAAGGCCGAGGACGAAUUUCCAUUCUGACCUAGUGACAAGGGUGGGUAUAAUUUGUGGAACGUUCCAAAAAACUUCGUAAAUACAAAGUUGUAACGUUCUGGCGGCAGAAUAAGAUACCGGGAAGUGAGUGGGCUAUUGAAUUACGUUUUUCACUCGCCACGUUUAUUCCUAAACAUUUCUGUCCUCACUCUGGACAAACAUUAAGAAUAAUCUACGUGGUGAGUUGAUGCCUAUUCGGCAACUAGUUAGCUAGGUGAAUUGAUCAAGCUACUUUGUAUGUGUUGUUUGUUGGCAACCUGGGAAUUUAGAAGUUUUUGGAACAGAUUCCUGUUGGAACGUUUUACAAAUUAUACCCACCCAAAUACUGGCCUAAAUUGUGACAUCGCUCACACACUAUAAUGCAGACACUUAACGUUACCCGGCGACAACAAAACUCUUGAAAAUCGUGAUGAAAUAUAAAAUAAUAUUACUCCAUUUUUUUGUCAUUAACAUCCAUACAUAGUUCAAGAAAACAAUUAGCGAUGAUGGUGUGUCCCUGAAAACUUCACAUUUAACCUUUGCUUACCAUCUUCCU
Salvelinus fontinalis (brook trout) is the source of this 1602-nucleotide long non-coding RNA. RefSeq lists it as uncharacterized. Lineage: Eukaryota; Metazoa; Chordata; Actinopteri; Salmoniformes; Salmonidae. The record is from RefSeq and is a predicted model, not a curated record. The transcript is spliced from 3 exons.